Camelina sativa (false flax) is the source of this 1239-nucleotide non-coding RNA. Lineage: Eukaryota; Viridiplantae; Streptophyta; Magnoliopsida; Brassicales; Brassicaceae. The record is from RefSeq and is a predicted model, not a curated record.
CAGAUAAUGCCAUUUACAUUUAAAAUUGUCUUUGAUUUUCAAGAAAUAGGGAACACAAAAAUCUUCAAGGAUUGAUUCCUGAUUUUCUGAUUCUCUUAAAUUUGGAUUGGCAAAAAACAUGAGAUUGAUUCACUUUCUAAUUUGAUUCAUCUUCUUUGACUAAAAUCAUGGCAAAAGAAAGAAAAUUAUCAGAGGUGGACUUAUUCUGUGGGUUCACUGUUCACUUUCUCUUUCAAGAACAAAGUUGUAGAUCUAGUUUUUAUUUUCUUUCUAGGAAUAUUUUUUUUUCUUGGGCUGGGAAAAUUUCAGGGAGAUCUUCUUCGUCUCUUUACUUUCGUUUCUCUCUCCUACUUUUUUUUUUCUUCACUCGGCAUCUUGCGAACUACGCAAGUUUUUGCUAGUUUACUACUACUAUUUUGAUUUUGUUACCUUUUUUUUUUCUUUUGACAUUUUGAUCGAAAGCUCUUUUUUUCCUUCUCCAGAUUAACGCUCUCCUCCAUUUUUUUUUUCAUUUUUGUAACAAAUUUAUAAUGUUGCUAUAUCGAUGCAAACUAUAUUCUGGUAAUUUCUCUUGAUGUUCUUCGUCAAGUUCUGAGAAAAAUUUCUCGGUUGUUUGUGGUUUUUGUUUCAGUGUGAUUUUUUUAUUUCUCUGUUCAAUCGAUGCCCCUUUACAUUUUUAAUAGCUUGUUGGGAUCAAAAUCUCAGUUGUUUGAUUUUUUGCUUCGCAUCCUUAAAUCGAUUAUUGUCAAGAUCUGUAAUGGAAUUUGAGAUCUGUUGGUGUUUGGUAUUAAUUUUUCAGGUAAGGUGGGAUUUGUUACGAAAUAGGAAGAUUAUUUGUGCCUCUCUCGUUUCCAACAGAUCAACCUUAAGGAAUCAAUAACAGUGAAAUGCAUAUAUGGGUUCCGCUUGAAGACGUUAAUUCUGGAGAGAUAGAGCUUUUGAUCGAAGCUGUGGCUCCUGAGUACAGCGAACUUUAUCGCAGGCAGAUUCUAGUAAAGGCUCAAUUGAACUGGUUCUUGUUGAAGCGCGAUUUUUUUAAAAACAUUUUCCGGCUUUAUCGCAGGCAGAUGAUUUUCAAUCGAUGCCCCUUUACAUUUCAGUAUGAUUUUUUUAUUUCUCUGUUCAAUCGAUGCCCCUUUACAUUUCAGUAUGACCUUCCACUAUCACUACGAAAAUGAUGUAUUCUUUUGACCGGAUUAAUGAAUUAACUAUUUUCAGUGAACAUCUCAGCCUAGUGAA